Molecule: long non-coding RNA, 2023 nt
Filed under: Takifugu rubripes (torafugu)
Lineage: Eukaryota; Metazoa; Chordata; Actinopteri; Tetraodontiformes; Tetraodontidae
Description: lncRNA (ENSTRUG00000030795.1)
Source: RNAcentral
AGCAUUGUCAGAGGGGGUGAGAGGGAGAGGGGGGAAAGUCAUACACUCUGUCACACUUCACAUCAUCAUAAAGGCCGGCUCAUCAGCCAGAGCUGCCAAAUGGACACAUAAAGCUAUUCUCUCCUCCAAAACCAAACACACUCUGUCAAAUUUCUCUCUGCUAGUUUAGCCUCCACUUACUCUCAAUUUUCCAGUAAACCACCAAGUAAACAACCUGCCUUCUAAUCAGGGGCAGCUUAGAGCAGAGGGUUAGCAGACAGGUAGAUGGGUCUGAGGUCCAUUUUGCGGCUGGUAAUUAGAUUGAUUAAGGCCGGCUUGGUGCUGCAGACGUGACGACAGGGAGCAGGAAAUGGAGAUGGAUGAGCCUGCCGGGCUGCGGCUGCGAGACAGGAAUGGUAAAUCGAGCUCAUCCCUGCUGGCUGCCUGCGGCGGAGGAAAUAGACUCCCCUCUCCAUGCCCACUCGCAGAUUUACUCCCACCGCAAGGUUACUGGACGCUGGGGUUGUCAGGUUGCCCUUUCUGGAGAGGGAACUGAGGGCAUUAUGUUCCGCUAUGAAUGAUUCAUCCCCCUCUCUGUAUGUGCUCGGACUUGAGAAGGAGGAAACACCGAGGAAGAUGCUCAUGAGGGGGAGGGAGAAUCCAGACAGAGGAGCUAAUGAUAUGCAGAUGUUGGGGAUAGCGCCAUAAAAUCAAGCGACUACAGGAAAAGACUGUAAAAGCCUUCGUAAUUUAACACUGAGUGCAUUUUUAUUCCCUCCAGAGGAUUUAUUGUAAUUAAUAGAAUGACUUGUGUGCUAUUUGUAAUUCAGUUCCUUCAUCUACUCAUCAAUAAAUAAUACAAACACACCUAAUUUCUGCUCGAGCAGGGAACAACCUAAGUCAGGGAGACCUUUAAAACAACAUCCUCUCCCUUUAUCAUAUUUCCUUUGACCUGAAGUAGAUGAAGUGCUUGAUUAUUAGGACCCGCUGAACAAUUAAGUGGGUGAUAAAAUUUAAUUCAUAAAUAAUGUAUCUGUUUAUCGCGGGGAUGCGUUGAUGGUGGUCACAGCGGCACCAGACUGAUGCUGUGGCCUACAUAGAUUCCAUCCAUGAGCCUGUAGAAAACAGCGCUGCCUUCAUGCGCAGAUCUCUGUUAGUGAUAGAUGCUAAGAAAUCUGCAGAAUUGAGUGCUGCAGACAUUUGUGCAUGUGUGUGCACGUCUUCCCCUCCUCUGCUCGCUCUGCUUUUGGUCUGGUCCAGGCCGGUGCUGCCGGUCCUGCCAGGUCUGCGGCACCAGGGCCAGUUUGAUUACAUUUGAAGGAGCGGCCGAAGGGACAGUGAAUUAUUCCUGAGCUGUUAGCUUCACCGUAGCUGCCGAGGAAACAAGGCAGCUCGGCUAAAUUCACCCCUCUGCUGCUGACCUUGGAGGUCAUCGAGAGGAAGGGGACAUUCAUCACUCUGACACGUGAAUACUGCAGGGACAGGAGAAUGAUGAGUGUGUAUGUGUGUGUGUGUGUGUGUGUGAAUUAUUAUCAUUACACUAUAAUUCUUCCAGAUUAAGUAAGACUUACAGCAUGUAACAACAGUUUCUGCAUCAUAUCUUUCAUUAUUGUGUUAGGAAAGUUCCUUUGUGUUAAAUGCUUUUAUUUCCUCGUUAAGUGGUUUGUUAUUUGUGUAUGGACAAACAAUGGAUUUGCAACAAUGCAUCUUCUAAUAUUCUCUUACUUCCUUUUACUUCAGAGAACGUUUUGGUUAUUUCCUACUUGAGCCACUGUCAGGAAGAGGGGGGACAUGUGUUAGUGAGACAGAGCGGGGUAGAAAGGAGGCCGGCCUGAUAUUGAUCUCUGUAUAUUAAAUGAGAUGAGGGUGUGUAAGUACUUCUGACCUGUUUAAAAGCUGUGUAGACAAUGUUAGAACAUUACGACUAGAAAUACAUUUCAAUUAUUGGUGGAGGCAGUAAAACUUUAAAACUAAAAAGUACCCAGAUGGAUUAGAAGCUCCAAACUCCACAACUGGGGUUGCUUCACCACUUUUCUCACUCAAA